Molecule: ribosomal RNA, 465 nt
Filed under: Vreelandella stevensii
Lineage: Bacteria; Pseudomonadati; Pseudomonadota; Gammaproteobacteria; Oceanospirillales; Halomonadaceae
Description: partial 16S ribosomal RNA
Rfam family: Bacterial small subunit ribosomal RNA
Source: RNAcentral
CCUACGGGGGGCAGCAGUGGGGAAUAUUGGACAAUGGGGGCAACCCUGAUCCAGCCAUGCCGCGUGUGUGAAGAAGGCCCUCGGGUUGUAAAGCACUUUCAGUGAGGAAGAACGCCUGGUGGUUAAUACCCAUCAGGAAAGACAUCACUCACAGAAGAAGCACCGGCUAACUCCGUGCCAGCAGCCGCGGUAAUACGGAGGGUGCGAGCGUUAAUCGGAAUUACUGGGCGUAAAGCGCGCGUAGGUGGCUUGAUAAGCCGGUUGUGAAAGCCCCGGGCUCAACCUGGGAACUGCAUCCGGAACUGUCAAGCUAGAGUGCAGGAGAGGAAGGUAGAAUUCCCGGUGUAGCGGUGAAAUGCGUAGAGAUCGGGAGGAAUACCAGUGGCGAAGGUGGCCUUCUGGACUGACACUGACACUGAGGUGCGAAAGCGUGGGUAGCAAACAGGAUUAGAUACCCGUGUAGUC